AUGCACCAAAACACUCCAGCAAAGCUCGUUUUGCUCUUGUGUCCCUGCAGGUCCCAGCACAGCUCCCGUCCCUCGGGGAUUUGUGGGAGCAGCAGUUUGGAUCUGAUAAUGUGGAAUUAUCGCUGCUCCCUGUGUUUCAGCACGAGGUACAAGGGCAGUGUUGACUUCACUCUUCCAGGGGGAAAAAAGUGUGGAUUUAUCUUGGCUGAAUAAUUCAUGGCUCCCUGGAUGUGAUCCUGAUGCACUGCAGCUUUUCCCACUGCAGGGCUGACUUCUCCAGGCUGCUGUAGCUGCAGGGCAUUGAUCUGGAUGAAAUGGAAACACAACUUGGAGACAAAAAAAACCCCAAAAUUUAACCAGGAGAUGAGGAGAGAUGAGAAAGGGCAGAAAGAGGCUGAGGCUGCAGCUGGAUCCGGUUCAUUCCUGCUUUUCUUUGGGAUGUGCAGCGCUGUUGCCUGUCCUCUCCUGGUUCUCCCAGCUGGUGUUUUCAGCCCUUGCUUGGCUGACAGAAGAUGAGUGGAAUGAGAACAAUUUCUGAUGUCAGGGAACGCCCUGAAACCUGUUCAGAGGCUGCUGAACUCCUGGGUGUCAAUCCAGCAAAACAAAACCACCAGGGAAAACACGAGACAAAACCCAGCUGAGCAAAGGUUGGUGCCUUGUGGAAGAAAAGGUGGAGAUUUCUGUAGCAAAAAUUUUAAAAAAAGAGUAUUAAUUUAAUGCAAAUUAAAAAUUAAUUCAAAUGAAACAGUUCAAAGGAACCACUGUGAUGCUUCCCCAGCUACAAAGAACAAGAGGUCCCAGUGAAAAUUUGCCAUUUGAAGCUGCCCAUCCAGAGAAUUUAUCAGAGCCAAAUGUCAGGAGUUGAAGUCAAGACCACGUAGGGGAUGAAAAACCUGAGGGCAUUAUUGGUUUUUAGGUCUGAUAGUCAAGAGGGUCUGGAAGAUUUAUUAUUUUAAAUAAUUCCAAGUGAAAAAUGGAAGUAGCACGUGAGAGGCCGAGUACCUGCCACCAAAAUGGGGUGGUGAUCCCAAAACCUCCCCUCACCCAUCCUUUCUGGUGGAAACCACAGCUUGAUUCCUGAAUAAUUUGAGUAGCUGUUGUAAACACGAGCCCUUGAAAUAAUUUUUGGAUUGCUGGAUUUAUUAGCCCCCAUCUGGAAUUAAUCUCGUCUUAAGAUAGGAAUUCUCCUCAGAGAAAUAACGCAGUUUAAUUUUUAAAAUGUGGAUGUGAUCAUAUUAAUUUUAUACUCAUUUCAUACUCACUUUAUACUCACUUCAUACUCAUUUUAUUGUCCUACUCUGAUCAUUUGAGCUUUCUCAAUGCCAAUAAAUAACUGGGUUUUCUUGUAACGCUUUCA
Molecule: long non-coding RNA, 1357 nt
Filed under: Cyanistes caeruleus (blue tit)
Lineage: Eukaryota; Metazoa; Chordata; Aves; Passeriformes; Paridae
Description: lncRNA (ENSCCEG00000005654.1)
Source: RNAcentral